UAAGGAAUAUUGGGCAAUGGAGGCAACUCUGACCCAGCCAUGCCGCGUGCAGGAUGACUGCCCUAUGGGUUGUAAACUGCUUUUGUAACAGAGAAAACCCUCGUUUGCGAACGAGGCUGAUAGUAUGUUAAGAAUAAGCAUCGGCUAACUCCGUGCCAGCAGCCGCGGUAAUACGGAGGAUGCAAGCGUUAUCCGGAUUCAUUGGGUUUAAAGGGUGCGUAGGUGGUCUUAUAAGUCAGUGGUGAAAGCCUGCAGCUUAACUGUAGAACAGCCAUUGAUACUGUAGGACUAGAGUACAGACGACGUUGGCGGAAUAUGACAUGUAGCGGUGAAAUGCUUAGAUAUGUCAUAGAACACCGAUUGCGAAGGCAGCUGACGAGACUGAAACUGACACUGAGGC
RNAcentral lists this ribosomal RNA (400 nucleotides) under uncultured bacterium. Its description in RNAcentral is "bacterial SSU rRNA". It matches the Rfam family "Bacterial small subunit ribosomal RNA", at positions 355 to 752 of the family's 1533-position model. The record is from RNAcentral.